Molecule: long non-coding RNA, 2861 nt
Organism: Amaranthus tricolor (Joseph's coat)
Lineage: Eukaryota; Viridiplantae; Streptophyta; Magnoliopsida; Caryophyllales; Amaranthaceae
Exons: 3
Source: RefSeq, a predicted model, not a curated record
AAACAAUUAUAUUGGAACAAAAAACACCAAAUAAAUUUUAAGAUCGUAAUUUAGACGAAGUUAUGUAGUACUUUCUCCAUUUCUGAGGAAGUGUAGACUUGACGCAACAGUUCAGGUUUCCAUGUGUGACUGAAGUUCCAGUUAUGGAAGCAGAUUUUUGCAGAUAUGCGGGUCGCGGGAUGCUUUGCACACCAUCACUCUCAUUCCUCUCUUCAGUGUUUCCUUUCAUCGUCGUUUCCUUGUAGUUCCUGAAAAAUCUUUGUUUUAGCCAUGUACACGCUUAACAAUGCCGGUUGAAACCUCUUCUCAUGCUUCGGUGUUUAUUUCCGGGGGCAUGUAGGUUGCGGCCUGGUGUCUCACAAAGCAAUAUGCACAAUGUCGGUCAGUGAAAUUCAUUUGCCAUCUUCGUUUCCUCUUUACUUCACUUGUUUCUGUCAUGUGCAUAGCCAUAUUUUAUUGUGAGUUGAAAUUAUAUAUUUUGUGAUUGACCUCUCUUUCAACUCCUCUUAUUAUAGAGGUAUGGCUUAUGAGUAGCUGUUUAUUUUCUCUUAGCAAACUGCCUUGAUCAUGAUUUUUCCCAGAUAACAAAAUUAUUAUAAAAUAUUAAAAAUAGUCGCAUUCUUCUCACAUACUCCAUUAUACAGUUCAGAAUUUAGAAUGUCUAGUAGAUACCUUAUACAGUUCAGGAUUCAGAGGAAGUACGCGGAUUUUGAGUGCUUUUCCUGUUGUGCUAUCCCCUUUGAAUUUUGAUCUGUUAAGACACAAAAUAAACCCAAAACUCCAGCUUGAAUUAUGCAUCAUUAUCUCUUUUGGAUAGUACUUCUUUCAUCUCACUUAGAUUGCAACACUUGAGCUCAAAAUUUGUAGCGCAUCACAUUGUGAAAUGUGUGUCAUUCUCAUUGGGAUGGAGACACUAAUAUUAAGAUAUUCUCGUUGUCUGUCAAUAAAAAAAAUAAAAGACUGUUUUAUUAAGAGUGACAUUGUGACGCUUUAAUCGUAUUGCAAAUUGACUGAUAGUUCUGUCAAGGACAGGCAGGUAUUAUACUGAUAUUUAAGUUCCACGAGCGGCCGACAAAAUGAAAGUUGGCCGUCAAUGUAGAGAUUUUUGUUAUAGUAUCUUCUCCCAUUAUGAGUUUCAUCAAUAUUAUAUCUUGGGUUGACAUAGUAAAGUAAUCAAAUAAUUAAUGUUAGGUUUAAAUUAUAUAUGGAGCUGCUUUGGCUCUUUUGAACAAAAAAGGCAGUUAGGCUAUUAUUUUAUAUUUUUCUGGGACCAAGAAAAGGGACAGAAUUCUAAACAAUUUCUGAAUUGAUUGGGGCAUUCAAAUGGUGUACAGUGGCAUCUCUACAUGCAUGACCUUCUCAUGCAAUAUACUCCAUUAUGUUAACUGUUUUGAAUGCUUAAACAUUCUAGUAUUGAAUUACAUAGGGCACUUCUACCCACUGAAACUAUGUACAUGAUUGCUGCAAUUUUGAAAAUAAUGCUCAGACACUUACGUCUACAAAGCAUAAGGCGAGACUAAUAUUGCCUUUUCCCCAUUUUUUUAAUAGUGAAAUUCUAACUGCUAAUAGAUGCUCUUUUAAGGAACCAAAUUUGAUGAAAGGGAAUUCAGGAAAUCAAUCCAAUGCUCUUCUUGCUCAUCAUCUUCUUCGCCUGCCACUUGAUUCCAUUGUAAGUCUUGAAAGUUGACAGGUUGUUCGACUUCAUCAUUCUUUGCAAAUCGACCCCUUACUCUUGGCCUGCUAUCAGCUAAUGUCUUCCUACAUGCAUACUGAUGACCAAGCAUUGCAACCGUAGAAAAGUUAGAUGAAGACCUUUCAGUGCUUGUAAAAUUUUGAUAAAUGACAUUUCUCUUGAUAUACAUUGAAAUCCUAUGCUGAAUUCCAUUCAGUAUAAGAAAUUUACAGACAUGACUUGAGGAUCUGGCUGUCUUAACAGUUAACACGUUGAGAUUAGCGGCUUUAAAAAAGAUGACUAUGACUAAACACUAAACAUGAUGAUUUUGUUUAUAUUAGUGGGAGGGACUGUGAUUCUCAGCUUUCGCACGUCACCAAAGCCCUUAAAUUCCAAGGACCUGUGUGAGUAUCAUAUCUUAUCAUGUUAAGGAAGGGUAAAGCUUGAAGGAUAGUCUAAUUACCUGAAUUUUCUUGUUGAAGUUCCUCUGACUUCUCUUGCUUCGGUACUUCUCUAUUCUUUCUUUCUUCUCCUCGGGACUGUAGCGACAUGCCUUUGUCAUACCUUCAAUGAUAAUGCUCGUGCUUUCAUUUCCCGAUGGGCUUCCUAAGUGGUGGUGGUGGUGGUGGAGUAAGGUUUUGACUCCCUGCCAUGAGAAUGUUCAACUGUGUUGGCUACCAGCUAUGCAGAAUUUAUAAUGACAAAUUAUUAAAAAAAAAUUAUGCGACACUUCCUGAUGAUUUUUCCUGUUUUAGAACCAUUGCAACUUUCUCGUUAUGCCUAUUUCACUGACUCAAAAGAAUUUACCUGAUCCAAAUCACCAGUGCCAGAGACCCGUUUCACCGGGCCAAUAUCGAGGCCAACAAAGCCAGCAGCAGAUGAAACUGGUAGAUGAAAUCUGUUGUUCAGGAGCGAGUGGCUACUGGGCCUUUGCUGCAUCAAAGUGGUAGGAGUAUAUGCUAGAUGGGUACUAGUAUAGCUAAGAGGCGAAGUAGGUGAUCCUAUGUAACUAUUACUUGUACACCCACUCCCCGUACUUGUAUUCCCAUCAACGUUUGCGAGCAUGAAAGCUUCGUUCAUGGAUUCAUAGUCGUCUGUAAGAGACCGAACUAAUAUAUGUGCUAAACUGGCUGGGUUACUUUGAUUAAUGAAAUCUGAAGAAUGAUCGUAGAAAGAGCUGUUAUUUUGU